UGGAAAAUUCUGCUUCUUCACUAUUCCCAGCUCUUACUGAAUUAUCGUUUUGGGUCAGUUGGUAGCAUUUCCCAAGGCCUCCAUUGUCAGGACAGGAUGGGAAGCAGAUGCUCACAGAUUCUGCAUUCCAAAUGAUCGUAACGCAGCUAAGCAGAUAAGUGACAGAUAUCUAUAACAAGCAUGAAAGUGAAUAAAAUAGGAGAAACCAGAUAAAUUAGGAGUCUAGGGAUAUGAACAGCAGCUCUUCAGGAAGGUUUCCUAUGCAAGUAGUUUGCUUUAUUGCAGUUUAUUUCUGUUUUGUCUCUCCCACACCAUUCAUUAUCUAUUAGCUGCUAUUAGCCUUUUCUGUGGUGGGUCAGUAAGCAUGUUAGGCCAAGAUAUACUGAAGACAGCUUCUCUUCUGCGCUGUUGCACUCUUCGUAGGAGCAGCCAAUUUAGGCCCUUAGGGAUGAAAUCCUCAGACACUUCUUUAAACUUGGGUUUCACUAUAUACUGGUAUUGUACCAUCACUAGCCCAUGGGCCUGACUAUUAGUUGUAAAGGCCUUAUUUUCAGUAAUUUGAUAUGUAGACCUGAUGGUGCAGGAAUAGCAUAUAUUAGUUACUUAAUGCACUUCUAGAAAGUGGUAAGGAUGGUAUAAGAACAUGACCAGAAUAGAAUAGAAUAGAAUAGAAUAGAACUUUGAUUUCUAGGGCAACCUUCCCAAUAUCCAAUUGUGUAAGUUUUCAAAUAUAUGAAGAGCAGCUGUUAAAAACGGUCAGGAAAAUUAGCCCAGGCACAAAACCUAUUUGCCUGCCCUUCCUGUAGGUGCUUUGGCAAGUAGAUUAUUUCAUGGUUACAUACUGUACAGCUGAGCAACACAAAAACAUAUUAAGACUAACCACAUCUUGGGGUUCUGAGAGGAUCACAGAUCCCUCAACUUUUGCUCCUAUGGUAACCCUAAUACUAUCAGAACCAUCUAGGGAAAGAAUGGUUUUGUGGUUAAGGCAAUCUGGACUAUGGCCUUUAGCUACAUGUUCAAACUAUUACUAAAAUAAUGCAUCAUAUAAUAUUUUCCCAAUUUGAGAUAUAAUUGUACAGCAUCCUGCAGUGUUGUGUACCGUUGCAUGUGUUCUAGGGAGAGAUAGAAUCCAUUAAAGCCAUCGAUAUGAAAACUACCUAGUCGGAAUACACAACACACUCCAGAAGAUGAGCGCCUUAUAGAAUAACGGUGAACAUUAGCUGGUACUCAUAGGUCACCUGGGAGUGCAACAAAGUUACCCUCAUAAUUAACUGCCUCAUCUGAAUUACAGCUAAGGAUGUACAGUAUGUGUAUGUACAUGCAUGGUAUAUUAGCUUCAUAGAGUUAACUGUCUCAUCCCCUUACAUUACACUUAAGGAAAGCUGUGCUGUUGGUUGAAAAAAAUUUAGAAACUAAACUGAUAAUGUUGUAAGUUCUGUUAAAUCUUGUUGAAACUGGUGAGUGUAACCACCCCUCUUCAUUCAGGUUCAAUGUAAGAAACAAUAGAGGGCCUCAAAGCCAGGGCCGCCCAGAGGAUUCAGGGGGCCUGGGGCAAAGCAAUUUCGGGGGCCCCUUCAUAAAAAAACGUUGCAAUACUAUAGAAUACUAUAUUCUCGUGGGGGGCCCCUGUGAGGCCCAGGGCAAAUUGCUCCCCACUUCCCCCCGCCACCAUCCCGGGCGGCCCUGGGAAAAAUAAACAUUUAAAAACCUUCCCCAUCUUGGCAUAAAUCCAGUUUUGAGAAAACUUCUUUUCAAGUCACCUUUACAAGGUAUCACUGGUUCUCAGCAUCAGCUAUUGCUAAAAGGCACUAAAGCUCAUUAAAAGGGUUGGACAAAUAUUUUCUGUCAAAACUUUUUUUGGAUUGAAAACUAGGGGUUUUUAAAAAGCAGAAAAAAUCGUGGACAAUGUCUGCUUUCCUUCAAAAUUUGUUGUGUUUUUUUUAAUUGAAAAGCUGAAAUUAGUCUGCCAAAACCUGAACAUGGUUUGGGAUUUCAGAAGUGUGUGGCCAAAUAUUUGCUGCUUGCUGUGUUUGAUUGUUUAAAGAAACAAUAAAAAAAUUCCGCUUAAAAAAAAUCCAAAAUUUUUGAACCACCUCAGCUUGUGACCAAACACCUGAGCCCAUCCAGUCAGAGAUUUUUCCAGGUUUCUGAUAAUCUGCUGGUUUCCUUGACUCAUAUCUGUCUCCAUAACUUUGGGUUCAUUUAGGUUAGAACAUAAGAAUGGCCAUACUAGAUCAGACCAAAGGUCCAUCCAGCCCAGUAUCCUGUCUACCGACAGUGGCCAAUGCCAAGUGCCCCAGAGGGACUGAACCUAACAGGAACAGACAUGGCUUCGGAGUGUGCUAGUGUGGAUGUAAAAUUCCAGCAUAUACUGCCGCCAUUGAACGGAACAGGACUAUCACUACUGCUUCAAUAAGAACGGGAUUGUGCCCUCUGUCAGUGUGCUCUUAAAAAGUAGAUAUUUAAUGUAUUGUGAUGCUUGCCAAACAAGAUAUUCUAUGUUGUUCAUUAUAAUGGCCAUGCUGAUAGUUGCCAGCCAGAUUUAGUCUUAUAAAUCUCUUGCAGUAGAGCUACACUCUGCAGUUCCUUAUCCUUACAAGUCCUGGUUGGUCUCUUCAGAUUCUGAUUAAGGCCAUCCAGGGGCACUUUCAGUAUAGUGCUGUGCACUGUGGAAAAGGACUAUACUCAAAGAAAGCCAUUCGUGAUUUUUGUAAUCCAGAACAAAAGAAGUGACUUUCCUUUAAAUUCACACUGUAGUCAAUAAUUUAAAAAACAGUAAAAUUCACUCAUCCCAAGGAGGUUACUGACAUUUUGAGAAGCUCUUUCCUAUUACUACAAAUAAAAAAGGAUGAAAGCACUCUGGUUUUAGCUGAUUUUAAGAAAGUUUCAACACUUAUGUAUGUUUUUGGGUACCUAUUGUUUUCCUUUAACUUGUUUUGGGUUACUUUAAAGUCAGAUAGGAUUCAGGAUUUGUAGGCAAAGAGAGAAAUGACACCCUUUGCUCUCCCUAAAAAGAUAUUUUCUCUUUAAUUGCAUUCUCUUCCUUCAGCUCUUAAGAGAGGGGCAAUUAGGGGAGGAGAAACACUUCCAGACCAGUCAGCUCAAUCCUCUCUGCUCUCUUCAUUUUGAUUCAGAAGUCUCAUUGGACCAAAUUCCCAAUGCUGUUCUUCAUAGGAUGAAAAUGGAUUAAUAUUCAUAGGGCAGGAUAAUCUGAGAGAUACUCCCCUCAGAUAUUAGUUUUCUGUAAAAGAGUGUGGUCUGGAUGUCAGUCAGUAUUCUCUGUUGCUGCUGAAUGCAUGUUCUCAUAUUCUACACAGGAGAACUGGGAUGUUUGGAGGAAGAGAAUAAGGUAGUAUCCAAAAGCUGCCCCUUAGGUAAAAGAAACUUUAGCACUCCCUUCAAAAAUAAAUAAAUCUUAGAUUAAAAAACACACACCACUAUAUUAUUUUCUUUUAAUUUGAUCCUUCUUCCUUGUCUUGCAUAAAAUCUACCUGUUUUUUUUUAGAGACUCUGCCCUUGAAUUAUGGAGCUGAUCACAGGCCAACACAAAUCCAUUUCCAGAAGAAAAAGGCAACAGAAUGGAGCCAACAUUAAAACACAAAUUUAAAAUCAAAAGACCAAGAUUAGUCUUGAAUUCAAUCUGAGCGUCAUAUGUCAAAAUGUGAAAUAAAUUAGUAAAGCCUGACACCCAUAUUUUAAAAAUAUCAGUGUGUGGUAAGAUCUCCCAGAUGUGGAUUUGAUUAGGGCCAAAGUUAGUCUGGUUAAAACCUGCAGCUAGGAAGAUUUUUUUUUCUCCUCAACAAGCUGUCAUGAUUGAAAUAUUGCAAGGAGAGGGAUGGGUUGAAUUUCCCCAAAUUGAAAUUGUACCCCUGCUAAUGAUGUGUAGUUAUGCUGAGAACCAACUGAAUACAGAAAAGGUUGCUGUUA
This is a long non-coding RNA of Malaclemys terrapin pileata, 3927 nucleotides long. RefSeq lists it as uncharacterized. The record is from RefSeq and is a predicted model, not a curated record. The transcript is spliced from 3 exons. NCBI's taxonomy places the organism in Eukaryota, Metazoa, Chordata, Testudines, Emydidae.